This 76-nucleotide transfer RNA is filed under the name Clostridiales bacterium. Its description in RNAcentral is "tRNA-Thr". It matches the Rfam family "tRNA". From Rfam's summary of the family: Transfer RNA (tRNA) molecules are approximately 80 nucleotides in length. Their secondary structure includes four short double-helical elements and three loops (D, anti-codon, and T loops). Further hydrogen bonds mediate the characteristic L-shaped molecular structure. tRNAs have two regions of fundamental functional importance: the anti-codon, which is responsible for specific mRNA codon recognition, and the 3' end, to which the tRNAs corresponding amino acid is attached (by aminoacyl-tRNA synthetases). tRNAs cope with the degeneracy of the genetic code in two manners: having more than one tRNA (with a specific anti-codon) for a particular amino acid; and 'wobble' base-pairing, i.e. permitting non-standard base-pairing at the 3rd anti-codon position. The record is from RNAcentral. Lineage: Bacteria; Bacillati; Bacillota; Clostridia; Eubacteriales. RNAcentral also lists the same sequence under 1 other name.
GCUGGAAUAGCUCAGGCGGUAGAGCGGUUCACUCGUAAUGAACAGGUCGUGAGUUCGAGUCUCACUUUCAGCUCCA